Long non-coding RNA from Oncorhynchus tshawytscha (Chinook salmon), 387 nucleotides. NCBI's taxonomy places the organism in Eukaryota, Metazoa, Chordata, Actinopteri, Salmoniformes, Salmonidae. The record is from Ensembl.
GUCUACACCAGAGUCGGAUAAAAGUCUUUCUGGGUGCUGGGGCUGUGUGGUGAGGGGUGUUGCUCUCUAAUUGAUUUUCUUUAUCUCUGAAUCACUCUACCUACCAAGCCUUUCGUUCUGAUUCACCUGCCCCUAACAGAAGAGAGGGGGGAAUAGAUCACAAUAUCUGUUGUUGGCAGCAAGGCACAUUUAGGAGCCGAAGGCAAUUAGCGCCCUGCAAUAAUAAUUAGGCGAAAUACUGCAAAGGAGGAAGAGUGAAGUGGAGGCCUUUAUGCAGACAGCUGAUAAGCAGUAAAUAGAAGAAGUUUUCAGUGGCCUCGCAUCAUGCAUCCACUACAUAGGAACAUAUGUAAGAACAUACACAAGCAUGACCUGAGGGAAUCAGCU